This 441-nucleotide long non-coding RNA is filed under the name Cyclopterus lumpus (lumpfish). RNAcentral's name for it is "lncRNA (ENSCLMG00005008424.1)". The record is from RNAcentral. Lineage: Eukaryota; Metazoa; Chordata; Actinopteri; Perciformes; Cyclopteridae.
GUCUCUUCCUCUUCAAAGCUUCCGCGAGGAGAAGACCACGGCGAUCCUCUGGUUCCUCAAACGGCAGCUCGACGUGACUGUUCACGGCUCUCUGUGGAGGAUGCAGGAACUGGAGCAUGUUGAACGUGGAAGAGUGGGACGUGAAGAUGACGUCACCUACAGAUGACCCUCAUGAGAACGUCUCACUGAAAGGUAACUUCAUUACCUUUGUAGCUCUAGGUCUUUGACUGCUGUGGCCUUUUCAUGCACAUUGCAACGAUCCUACAGAUUGGUUUCUCAGCUUUCAUGUUUAAUAAUUCUAAAUCUUUUCCUCUACUUUAGGAAUCGUCUUGGUUUGAAUCUGGAGUCCACGCUGAUGCAGCAGUUUGUCAGACUGUCGUUGAUUACUCCAGAGUUGAGAUUGUUUGUGUGAUGUCAUUGGAAUGAAAUAAAACACUUGGC